RNAcentral lists this ribosomal RNA (2214 nucleotides) under Triticum aestivum (bread wheat). RNAcentral describes it as "partial small subunit ribosomal RNA". The record is from RNAcentral. Lineage: Eukaryota; Viridiplantae; Streptophyta; Magnoliopsida; Poales; Poaceae.
AUGGCAUCCUUCGCCAACCUCCUGAUCUCACUUUUCUCGCUCACCCUCACGCUCCUGCAUGCUCCUGCACCUGCGGUAUGCGACGACCUAGGUGCAGGCCUCUCUCCAAGCCAUCGCACAUACAUUGUGCUGCUGAGGCCACCCGUCGACGCCGGCAGCGAGGACGACCACCGCUGGUGGCAGGAUUCUUUCCUGCCAACGCCUCUCGCCGGCUCCCAUGAGCCACGCCUCAUCCAUACCUACACCGAGGUCUUCACGGGGUUUGCCGUGAGGCUCACCGAAGCCGACCUCGCCAUGGUGUCCCAGAGGAAAGAGUUUGUGCGGGCGUUUCCAGACCAUCUCUGGCGCCCCAGCACUACUCACACUCCCAAGUUUCUCGGACUGGAGAAAGAUGCCGGGCUGUGGAGGGACACCAACUAUGGCGAAGGAGUCAUAAUCGGUGUAGUCGACACCGGCAUCUAUGCGGGGCAUCCUUCCUUUGAUGACAGUGGCAUCCCGCCACCUCCAUCAAAGUGGAAGGGUUCAUGCCAUGGUACUGCUGCUGCCCAUUGCAAUAACAAAUUGAUUGGUGCCAAGUUCAUCACCGUCAAUGACUCUGGAGAUGUCAUAGGGCAUGGGACACAUACCUCGUCCACGGCUGCUGGGAACUUUGUCAGUGGUGCCUCGGCACAGGGUCUCGGCAGGGGCACAGCAGCCGGGACUGCUCCACGUGCACAUCUGGCCAUGUACAGCAUGUGUACGCUUCGUGGGUGUGACUCCGUUGACAUCAUUGCGGGGAUAGACGAAGCUAUCAAGGAUGGGGUUGAUGUGCUCUCACUCUCCCUUGCCCCUAUUUAUGAUGUUGAGUUCAGUGCAGACCCGGUAGCCAUUGGUGCACUCAGUGCAGUAGCAAAGGGCAUCGUUGUUGUGGCUGCAGCUGGGAAUAAUGGACCCAAAUCGUUUCUUGCAAAUUCUGCACCAUGGUUGCUCACAGUUGCAGCUGGCUCAGUGGACCGAAGCUUCGAGACUGUUGUGCAGCUUGGGAACGGCAAUCACAUCAAUGGAGAGGCUUUUAACCAGAUUACAAACUCAAGCUCCAAGCCCAAAUCUUUUCCUCUGCAUUUGAACAAGCAUUGCAAGUCAUUGCCUGGAAGAAAUGUGGCCGGCAAAAUUGUGAUUUGCCAUAGCACAGGACCAAUGAAUGACACUGGGCCAUCAAUCAACAAGACCGACAUCAGUGCCAUCAUUAGUGCCGGGGCGGCUGGUGUAGUGCUAAUAAACAGGAAAGCUGCCGGUUUCACCACCCUUCUCGAGGACUAUGGCAAUGUGGUGCAGGUGACUCUGGCUAAUGGCAACAAUAUCACAGAGUAUGUGAGGACGACAAGCAAAGCCAGUGCCAAAGUCAUAUACAAGAACACUGUGCUUGGCGUCCGUCCAUCUCCCACGGUCGCGGCAUUCUCAUCCCGCGGUCCCGGCACGUUCAGCCCCGGUGUGCUAAAGCCAGAUAUAUUGGCACCUGGGCUCAACGUCAUUGCUGCAUGGCCACCACUCACCAUGCUUGGAUCUGGGCCAUUCCACAUUAAAUCAGGGACGUCCAUGUCGACUCCACAUGUCAGUGGUGUCGCUGCGCUUGUCAAGAGCUGCCAUCCUGACUGGUCUGCUGCUGCUAUCAAGUCAGCCAUCCUCACCACUGCUGACAUCAUGGACAGCACAGGUGGCCCGAUCUUGGACGAGCAGCAUCAGAGGGCAACCGCGUACGCCAUGGGUGCUGGCCAUGUCAACCCUACAAAAGCAGUUGAUCCAGGCCUUGUGUAUGACCUUGGCAUUACUGAAUAUGCCGGCUACAUAUGUGCUCUACUUGGUGAUCAGGACUUGGCAUUCAUUACGCGUGACCCGAGGUUGUCCUGCAAAAUGCUUCCCAAGAUACCUGAAGCACAACUCAACUACCCUACCAUAACGGUGCCACUCAAGACAAGGCCGUUCACAGUGCACAGAACUGCGACAAACAUGGGCCCAUCAAAUUCCAUAUACACACUGAAGAUGGAGAUUCCCAAAUCUCUUACAGUGCGAGUCUACCCAGAGACGCUGGUGUUAUCCAAGGCUGGACAAAAGAUUAGAUAUAGUCUGACGGUGAGCAGCUCUGACAGUGAGAGCUCAAACUUCAUGGAGGGAAGUUUGAGCUGGGUCUCAGUGACCCAUGUUGUGCGCAGUCCGAUCGUUGUCGCACUUUUGUAA